UACCGGUCAGACUCCAGGUCUUAUAUCUUGAAACUGUAAGUCCCUGAAUUCACAGACAAUUCAGAGUAAGGAUGGAGGCAAAGAAGAGGACCUUGGGUUUACUGUUCACCAGAUGACCUCAUAAAGGUGUUCAGUGAUGAAGAGGAGUGGCUGAAGAAAUGGCUGUCUAGAGUCAACAAGAACCUACCCCAAAGUUUGACCUUUGCCUUAAGUCAGUAACUGAGGAGGGCCAUGGUCCUGAGUUCAGUCCAGGCCCCAAGAAGAUUCAGAGCCGGCAGUUGUCCUCUGGUUUCUAAAGUAUGUUAUUGGGCUAAAGAUUUCAAGACAUUUAUCCUUCUUUGCUUUCUAUCACAGCCAUUAAAUGUUUUAGAUAUUUUCUGCCAGAAGGCAGGAAUCAUGAAGAUAACAAAUAUUAAAGACAAAACAAAAUAACUUUUAAUGA
RNAcentral lists this long non-coding RNA (442 nucleotides) under Pan troglodytes (chimpanzee). RNAcentral's name for it is "lincRNA". The record is from RNAcentral. Lineage: Eukaryota; Metazoa; Chordata; Mammalia; Primates; Hominidae.